RNAcentral lists this ribosomal RNA (434 nucleotides) under uncultured bacterium. RNAcentral's name for it is "partial 16S ribosomal RNA". It matches the Rfam family "Bacterial small subunit ribosomal RNA", at positions 29 to 506 of the family's 1533-position model. The record is from RNAcentral.
AACGAACGCUGGCGGCAUGCCUAACACAUGCAAGUCGAACGAUUGCCUUCGGGUGAUAGUGGCGCACGGGUGCGUAACGCGUGGGAAUCUGCCCUUAGGUUCGGAAUAACAGCUGGAAACGGCUGCUAAUACCGGAUGAUAUCGCGAGAUCAAAGAUUUAUCGCCUGAGGAUGAGCCCGCGUUGGAUUAGGUAGUUGGUGGGGUAAAGGCCUACCAAGCCGACGAUCCAUAGCUGGUCUGAGAGGAUGAUCAGCCACACUGGGACUGAGACACGGCCCAGACUCCUACGGGAGGCAGCAGUGGGGAAUAUUGGACAAUGGGCGCAAGCCUGAUCCAGCAAGGCCGCGUGAGUGAUGAAGGCCCUAGGGUUGUAAAGCUCUUUUACCCGGGAAGAUAAUGACUGUACCGGGAGAAUAAGCCCCGGCUAACUCCGU